Molecule: small nuclear RNA, 148 nt
Organism: Nerophis ophidion (straightnose pipefish)
Lineage: Eukaryota; Metazoa; Chordata; Actinopteri; Syngnathiformes; Syngnathidae
Product: U4 spliceosomal RNA
Exons: 1
Source: RefSeq, a predicted model, not a curated record
AUCAUUGUGCAUUGGCAGUAUCUUAGCUUAUGAGGGAUAUUCGAAGUGUGUUUAUACCCAGUUGAAAACCUUACCCAACACCUUGUCUUGAUUAUUUAAAUUAUAAUUAGCUAUGGCCAUUUUUGAUACAUACAUCUUCAAGAAGUCU